Pecten maximus is the source of this 589-nucleotide long non-coding RNA. RefSeq lists it as uncharacterized. The record is from RefSeq and is a predicted model, not a curated record. NCBI's taxonomy places the organism in Eukaryota, Metazoa, Mollusca, Bivalvia, Pectinida, Pectinidae. The transcript is spliced from 2 exons.
UGUAAACAUUGAUAUAUGUUUCUUCGUGAGUAUGUGGCUUUAAAUUAUAAGCUCUCUUCAAAAAGCCCUAUAUAUUAUAGCUGAUUUCGAGGAAUUGAAUGAAUUGGUAAAUGUGGCACCCUGUUAAUUUUGGUUAUUUUAACUGAAUCACUUUUAUAACUGCUCGUUGUGUUGUAUUUGUGCUGUUCGUAUCCCACGUCGUGUUUGUGGCUGUUAGGUAAAUGUUCUGUACUCGUCGUGUGAUUGUCACGCAGGGUGUAUCCUAUGCUGUGUUACAGGUAGCUGUCAGUUAUGUGCUUUGUAUGUGUGUUUCGUGAAUGUCCGGAGAGUAUGUUCAUGUGAUGUAUGUUUGUAAUAAACUGGUUUGACCACUGACGGACAGGACAGGGCAGGACAUGCGCAAUGCGUUUCUUCUUCUUUCUUUCUAUCCCUUUUUGGCGCUCUUUCCCCAGUUCCACUCUGUACAUUGGUCGGAGAAGACGCUCUAUGCCAACUUUCCAUACAUUUUGUAAAUACGUCCUGGGCACCACAUGCCAAGGACUUUUCUACCUGUACUUAUCAAUAUGUGCAAGUAAACAUGUGAACAGAA